RNAcentral lists this ribosomal RNA (464 nucleotides) under uncultured bacterium. RNAcentral describes it as "SSU rRNA". It matches the Rfam family "Bacterial small subunit ribosomal RNA", at positions 26 to 518 of the family's 1533-position model. The record is from RNAcentral.
AGGAUUAACGCUGGCGGCGUGCCUAACACAUGCAAGUCGAACGAGGUAGCAAUACCUAGUGGCAGACGGGUGAGUAACGCGUGGUCAACCUACCGUUGAGUGGGGGAUAACUAGCCGAAAGGUUAGCUAAUACCGCAUACGAGUUUUGGGGGCAUCCCCGGGCCUUAAAAGGAGCAAUCCGCUCGAUGACGGGACCGCGUCCCAUUAGCUAGAUGGUGGGGUAACGGCCUACCAUGGCACCGAUGGGUAGCUGGUUUGAGAGAGCGACCAGCCACACUGGGACUGAGAAACGGCCCAGACUCCUACGGGAGGCAGCAGUGAGGAAUUUUCCGCAAUGGGCGAAAGCCUGACGGAGCGACGCCGCGUGUGGGAAGAAGGCCUUCGGGUCGUAAACCACUGUCGAAGGGGACGAUAAUGACGGUACCCUUGGAGGAAGCCCCGGCUAACUACGUGCCAGCAGCCGC